RNAcentral lists this ribosomal RNA (497 nucleotides) under uncultured bacterium. RNAcentral describes it as "partial 16S ribosomal RNA". It matches the Rfam family "Bacterial small subunit ribosomal RNA", at positions 28 to 507 of the family's 1533-position model. The record is from RNAcentral.
GAUGAACGCUGGCGGCGUGCCUAAUACAUGCAAGUCGAGCGAACGGAUGAGAAGCUUGCUUCUCUGAUGUUAGCGGCGGACGGGUGAGUAACACGUGGAUAACCUACCUAUAAGGCUGGGAUAACUUCGGGAAACCGGAGCUAAUACCGGAUAAUAUUUUGAACCGCAUGGUUCAAAAGUGAAAGACGGUCUUGCUGUCACUUAUAGAUGGAUCCGCGCUGCAUUAGCUAGUUGGUAAGGUAACGGCUUACCAAGGCAACGAUGCAUAGCCGACCUGAGAGGGUGAUCGGCCACACUGGAACUGAGACACGGUCCAGACUCCUACGGGAGGCAGCAGUAGGGAAUCUUCCGCAAUGGGCGAAAGCCUGACGGAGCAACGCCGCGUGAGUGAUGAAGGUCUUCGGAUCGUAAAACUCCGUUAUUAGGGAAGAACAUAUGUGUAAGUAACUGUGCACAUCUUGACGGUACCUAAUCAGAAAGCCACGGCUAACUACGUG